Molecule: long non-coding RNA, 216 nt
Organism: Mustela erminea (ermine)
Lineage: Eukaryota; Metazoa; Chordata; Mammalia; Carnivora; Mustelidae
Exons: 2
Source: RefSeq, a predicted model, not a curated record
UUUGUACACAUAUGUACAAAGGGAAAAGGCUGUGAAGCUCCUGGUAGAAGAAGGCCAUCUACAAACCAAGGAGAAGGCCUGUAACAGACUCUUCCCUCACAGCCCUUAGAAGGAACCAGAUCUAUCAACACUUUGAUCUCAGAUGUCUAGCCUCCAGAAGAGAUCAGAUACCUGCAAAAUAGAAUUACUAUCUGGGAUUCCAAAACUUUGGCUUAG